UGUAGAAUAGACUAAAGGAAAGUCGCCAGACUCAUUAUUUGGAAAUGUGGGUUCAAAUCCGGCUUCUAUAU
Molecule: transfer RNA, 71 nt
Filed under: Ptilocaulis walpersi
Lineage: Eukaryota; Metazoa; Porifera; Demospongiae; Axinellida; Axinellidae
Description: tRNA-Met
Rfam family: tRNA
About the family: Transfer RNA (tRNA) molecules are approximately 80 nucleotides in length. Their secondary structure includes four short double-helical elements and three loops (D, anti-codon, and T loops).
Source: RNAcentral